UACGAAGGGGGCUAGCGUUGCUCGGAAUUACUGGGCGUAAAGGGAGCGUAGGCGGAUAGUUUAGUCAGAGGUGAAAGCCCAGGGCUCAACCUUGGAAUUGCCUUUGAUACUGGCUAUCUUGAGUGUGGGAGAGGUAUGUGGAACUCCGAGUGUAGAGGUGAAAUUCGUAGAUAUUCGGAAGAACACCAGUGGCGAAGGCGACAUACUGGAUCAUUACUGACGCUGAGGCUCGAAAGCGUGGGGAGCAAACAGG
Molecule: ribosomal RNA, 253 nt
Filed under: uncultured bacterium
Lineage: Bacteria
Description: partial 16S ribosomal RNA
Rfam family: Bacterial small subunit ribosomal RNA
Source: RNAcentral